Molecule: ribosomal RNA, 410 nt
Filed under: uncultured microorganism
Description: bacterial SSU rRNA
Rfam family: Archaeal small subunit ribosomal RNA
Source: RNAcentral
GUGCACCAGGCGAGAAAACUCCGCAAUGCCCGAAAGGGUGACGGGGGAUUCCAAGUGCCUACGCUUGGCGUAGGCUGUUCAGGUGCCUAAAAAGCACCUGGAGGAAGGGCUGGGUAAGACGGGUGCCAGCCGCCGCGGUAAUACCCGCAGCCCGAGUGGUAGUCGCUUUUAUUGGGCCUAAAGCGUCCGUAGCCGGUCUGGUAAAUGCCUGGGUAAAUCGUGGGGCUUAAACCUCACGAAUUCCGGGUAGACUGCCAGACUUGGGACCGGUUGAGGGAGAGGGGUACUCCAGGGGGUAGGGGUGAAAGUCAGCAAGGUAAGCUGAUGUAACUUGCCUUGCAAGUCACAAUCCGUGUAAUCCUUGGAGGACCCACCGGUGGCGAAAGCGCUCUCCUAGGGACGGGUCCGAC